RNAcentral lists this unclassified non-coding RNA (247 nucleotides) under plant metagenome. Its description in RNAcentral is "partial contains 5.8S ribosomal RNA, internal transcribed spacer 2, and large subunit ribosomal RNA". The stretch from base 1 to 115 matches the Rfam family "5.8S ribosomal RNA", at positions 49 to 154 of the family's 154-position model. The record is from RNAcentral.
UGAAAGGCGAAACGUAAUGUGAAUCGCAACUAACAGUGAAUCAUCGAAUCUUUGAACGCAGGCCGCGCUUUGCAUAUCACUCGUGUUAUCGCAAGGCAUUUACGUAUGAGUGUCAGCCUAAUAUACUUUUGGUUUAAUGAUACUUUGUAUUAUUAGAUUCAUUAUGCGAAUAUCAUUUUUUUGAUAUACGCGAUUAACAACUGUAUGUCUGGCCUCAUAUGUGAAAGGUUACCCGCUGGAUUUAAGC